GACAGAGGGUGCAAACGUUGUUCGGAAUUACUGGGCGUAAAGCGCGUGUAGGCGGCCAUGCAAGUCGGAUGUGAAAGCCCUCGGCUCAACCGGGGAAGUGCACUCGAAACUGCAAGGCUAGAGUCUCGGAGAGGAUCGUGGAAUUCUCGGUGUAGAGGUGAAAUUCGUAGAUAUCGAGAGGAACACCGGUGGCGAAGGCGGCGAUCUGGACGAUGACUGACGCUGAGGGACGAAAGCUAGGGGAGCAAACGGG
RNAcentral lists this ribosomal RNA (253 nucleotides) under uncultured bacterium. RNAcentral's name for it is "partial 16S ribosomal RNA". It matches the Rfam family "Bacterial small subunit ribosomal RNA", at positions 524 to 776 of the family's 1533-position model. The record is from RNAcentral.